ACAGCAGUCGCCGCGGGAAUACGUAGGUGGCAAGCGUUGUCCGGAAUUAUUGGGCGUAAAGGGCUCGCAGGCGGUCUCUUAAGUCUGAUGUGAAAGCCCCCGGCUCAACCGGGGAGGGUCAUUGGAAACUGGGAAACUUGAGUGCAGAAGAGGAGAGUGGAAUUCCACGUGUAGCGGUGAAAUGCGUAGAGAUGUGGAGGAACACCAGUGGCGAAGGCGACUCUCUGGUCUGUAACUGACGCUGAGGAGCGAAAGCGUGGGGAGCGAACAGGAUUAGAUACCCCUGUAGUCCCUGUCUCUUAUAC
This 305-nucleotide ribosomal RNA is filed under the name uncultured bacterium. Its description in RNAcentral is "partial 16S ribosomal RNA". It matches the Rfam family "Bacterial small subunit ribosomal RNA", at positions 508 to 807 of the family's 1533-position model. The record is from RNAcentral.